UGGGGAAUAUUGGACAAUGGGCGGAAGCCUGAUCCAGCAACGCCGCGUGAGGGAUGACGGCCUUCGGGUUGUAAACCUCUUUCAGUACCGACGAAGCGAAAGUGACGGUAGGUACAGAAGAAGGACCGGCCAACUACGUGCCAGCAGCCGCGGUAAUACGUAGGGUCCGAGCGUUGUCCGGAAUUAUUGGGCGUAAAGGGCUCGUAGGCGGUUUGUCGCGUCGGGAGUGAAAACAGCGGGCUUAACUCGUUGCUUGCUUUCGAUACGGGGCAAGACUAGAGGGUAUGCAGGGGAGAAUGGAAUUCCUGGUNUAGCGGUGAAAUGCGCAGAUAUCAGGAGGAACACCGGUGGCGAAGGCGGUUCUCUGGCAUUACCUGACGCUGAGGAGCGAAAGUGUGGGGAGCGAACAGGAUUAGAUCCCUGGUAGUCCACACCGUAAAGUUGGGCGCUAGGUGUGGGGUCCUUUCCACGGAUUCCGUGCCGUAGCUAACGCAUUAAGCGCCCCGCCUGGGGGNGUACGGCCGCAAGGCUAAAACUC
This 538-nucleotide ribosomal RNA is filed under the name uncultured bacterium. RNAcentral's name for it is "partial 16S ribosomal RNA". It matches the Rfam family "Bacterial small subunit ribosomal RNA", at positions 355 to 902 of the family's 1533-position model. The record is from RNAcentral.